GCGAGCGUGGUGGAACUGGCAGACACGCCAGAUUUAGGAUCUGGUGCCGAAAGGCGUGGGGGUUCGAUUCCCUUCGCUCGCA
This 82-nucleotide transfer RNA is filed under the name Spirochaetota bacterium. RNAcentral describes it as "Spirochaetes bacterium (wastewater metagenome) tRNA-Leu". It matches the Rfam family "tRNA". From Rfam's summary of the family: Transfer RNA (tRNA) molecules are approximately 80 nucleotides in length. Their secondary structure includes four short double-helical elements and three loops (D, anti-codon, and T loops). Lineage: Bacteria; Pseudomonadati; Spirochaetota. The record is from RNAcentral.